Molecule: long non-coding RNA, 1153 nt
Organism: Eriocheir sinensis (Chinese mitten crab)
Lineage: Eukaryota; Metazoa; Arthropoda; Malacostraca; Decapoda; Varunidae
Exons: 3
Source: RefSeq, a predicted model, not a curated record
AGAUAGAUAGUUAAAAAUAUAUAGAUAAAUGAAUAGGUAUAGAUAGAUAUAGAUAGAUAAACUGGUAGAUAGAUAGCUAAAUAGAUGGAUGGAUAGAUAUAGAUAGUAAUUAAGUAGAUAUAGAUAUACAGAUAGAUGAAGAGAUAGAUAGAUAUAUACAUGCAUAUACGUACAUACAAACAAGCAUACACAUAAAUACAUACAUAUACAUACGUACAUACACAACAGUUACUAAACCCUUAAUUGCCCUGAUACUGUUAUAACCUGACAAUAAAAAGGUCAACAAUUAAGCAUAUUACAGAUAUAGGUAUAUGAAUUUAUUUAGGGAAUGGAGUUUUCCUUACAAAAUCUUCUUACGUAUAUAUUUCCCCAUGUUAACAAAUACAGCUUAACAAAAAAAAAAUUAUACUACCAGGAUGAAUGCACCUUAACUCCUUUGAAUUUCUAUGACUUAAACAGGUGUGAACAUUUUCUAAUUAGUUUUCAUUAAUUUUAUAUAAGCUCAACUAAAGAAAGGUACGUGUGAGCAUUACCAUUUUUUAAUUACCUCUCAUCAAUUUCAUACAUGUUAACUUAAUUCAGGUGUAAACAUUUCUUAAUUAGUGUUCAUCGAUCAGUUUUGUAUAUGUUUAAUUUAAGACAGGUGAGUUUUCUUAAUCAGUUUUCAUCAAGUUUCGUAUAUUUUCAAAAGAAUUAUAGACAGCAAAUGGAUUCUUCCGUAUAUGUUAAACUUCAGACAGGGAUGGGUGAGCUUUUCAGGAUCAUUCUUCAUCAAUUUUAUAUAUUUUGUAAAGAAUUAUAAACAAAAAAUGUAAUAUUCUUUAUGUCCGGUGUAAUUCGAUCGGGAAACAAUCAGGUCAAGAAUCAAUAUCUUACGGGUUCAGAAUCAAUGUCUUACGGGUCCAGAAUCAAUGUCUUACGGGUCCAGAAUCAAUGUUUUAUGGGUUCAGAAUCAAUGUCUUACGGGUCCAGAAUCAAUGUUUUAUGGGUUCAGAAUCAAUGUCUUACAGGUCCAGAAUCAAUGUCUUACGGGUCCAGAAUCAAUGUUUUAUGGGUUCAGAAUCAAUGUCUUACGGGUCCAGAAUCAAUGUUUUAUGGAUUCAGAAUCAAUGUCUUACAGGUCCAGAAUCAAUGUCUUACGGGUCCAGAAUCA